GCAGGCUCCCAGCGGAGGAGCCUGAUGUGGGGCUCGAUCCCAGAACGCCGGGAUCACGCCCUGAGCCGAAGACAGACGCCCAACGACUGCGCCACCCAGGCGCCCCUGGAUUUUUUAUCUUAAUUUCAUAAUUUAUCUGUAAGUUCUUGGGGGCCUGUCUUUAAGGUACCUCCCCUAGGAUUUGCAUUUAUUUCUGCUGGCCACUUGGGAGUGUUUUACAUUCUCACCUUGGAGUUGUUUCCCCCAAAGGUACUACAGAUGCUGUUUGUGCGCAGGGCCAGCUUGUGGAGAGACUCCCAGAGGCAUCUUCCUGCUCCCAGAGCUAAGAGCCUAGCACCGUACCUGGUUUCCAGCACUCAGUAAAAUGUAGAAUGAAGAAAUGGAUGACUCAUCAAAUGCCAGUAUUCCUCAGUCAUUGUGUGAACUCGGAGACCUGAGCAAACCAGAGCUAGUACGUUGGACUUGAUGGAGUGAUGCCAGCUUUACUCAAGAGGAGCAACUCAAGUCGGAAUAUGGGCUGGCCUGUGUCAUUACAACCUCGUGAGUAGUUUUCAUUCCUGCCUCUUACUCUGGCUCUCC
This 579-nucleotide long non-coding RNA is filed under the name Ursus americanus (American black bear). RNAcentral describes it as "lncRNA (ENSUAMG00000003638.1)". Lineage: Eukaryota; Metazoa; Chordata; Mammalia; Carnivora; Ursidae. The record is from RNAcentral.